Molecule: non-coding RNA, 3680 nt
Organism: Equus caballus (horse)
Lineage: Eukaryota; Metazoa; Chordata; Mammalia; Perissodactyla; Equidae
Source: RefSeq, a predicted model, not a curated record
UGUGAUUUCCAAUCAGCCAACUUUUGCGUAAGGUCGUUUUUGGUUUGUUUUGUAAUACCUUGCUGAAAGCAGCAAGCAAAGCUAACACACAUUAAUGCUCUUUCCAACCCCUUCUCCUAAAGAUGCAGGCUCCGUAGGCAUGUGGUCUGUCCAAGUUAUGACAGGUGGCAAUUUUACCAAAUAUUUUGCCUUUCUGUAGUACUCGUUUCCACUUUUUCCAGCCUGUGUUAUUUAUUUCCUCGCUGCCUAAACUUUGUCAUCUAAGCCAAGGUCACUUGUUUUUGUUUUAGUGUCACUCUGUGUUAAGGUGCCACUCUCUGUGUUAAUCAGGAUGGCACUACCUGCUGUAACCCAUGACCCCUGCCCUGCCAGCUCUGCCUGCCUAACCUGGUGGUCCGUGAGUGCCCCCCUCAGUGGGCAGUUUUCCUUGACCUGGUAACUCAGGGCCCUGGACUCCUGGCAUCAUGCCUCUGCAGCCUUGCUGUCCUCACCUCCAACCAGUGGAUGGGAAUGAGACCAUGAGACCUAGAAGUGACACACGUCACCUCAGCUCCCGUUGCGCUUCUGAGAAGUAGUCACACAACCCCUGGCCGAGCUCCCUGCUCCGGGAGAGAAGCCCAGACUGUGUGUGGAGAGCAGGCUCCCUCCCCCACUGUUCACAGUGAGUCUGCAGCACCCUUUGGUUCCACGUAAGGCCGUCAGCUGCCCGAAGGCUGACUCGAGUGUCUGCUUUCACUCCCAACCUUUUGUCUGUGUAGUGAAGUCAAAUCCCUGAUGUAAAAAUCGACGUUUAAGUCUCAGACUUUCUUGUGUUAGACUUCAUCAUGACAGUGGCAUCUCCAUUAAGAUGGUAAUAGCUUAAGGAACAAUUUAUGGACUAAAACUUUGUAAUGGAAAGUAGAAAUCAUGCAAUUGAUGUUUAGAUGCGCUCUUUAGGAUUCCCUCUCUACUUUGUUGUAUUGUUCUGCUGUGCCUCUCCAGAACAAUUUGUUCCCUGUUAUCUCAAGGUUAAGAGAAUCGUGCUCACAUCCCUCCCACAUUGCUCAGGGAGGCAGCAAAUAGCGAGCAGGCGUGAUGUGGGUGGAACCAGGUUCAACAAAACAUAUGUCGGGAUCCUGAUCCUAGUACCUCAGAAUCUGACCUUAUUUGGAAAUAGGGAUAUUCAUACGUGGUUAGUUAAGAUGAGGUAAUGAGGGCAGGCCCUAAUCGAUAUGAUUGGAGUCCUUCUAAGAAGAGGGGACGUGCUGUGAAGACACACACAGGAGAAUGGCCACGUGAUGACGGACGCAGAGACUGGGGAUGCAGCUGCAGGCUCUGAAAGUCAGGAGGACUCCCUUACACUGGAAAAUCCUGGAAAGUGGUUUCCUCUCUCCCAUCCCUCAAAUGCCACCGCAAUCCUGGAGGGAAACACAGAGAGAACAGAGCUGGGGCGCUCAACACUUUCUCAAAGGAUCUCUAGGAAAGGCCUUAUGGGCAAGAGGCAGAAGAAGGGCUGAGGAGGAAUGGUGAGGGGUGUCCACUGACCGCCUACUGCCCAGUGAGAAUGAGCCGUGAACAAGGGGCUAAUCCUCCAGCGAAGUGCACAGAGUCCUUGCAGCUGUGGGACCACAGGACUCAUCAGGAAGGUCCCUGGGCCACUUGAGUAGAGCUGUGAGUGCCUAUUAAGAAGGACAGCUACCCAAGAGGCCAGAGGAGUUCCUGGGAGGAGAAGGGAUGGAAGCUGCCACUGGCACAGGUCACCAUAGCCAACAAGCCCAGGGGAGGGCAGGGUGUGAGGCUCGGCCCAGGCUGGCAGUGGACUGCCUGGAGUGAGGACUGGAAGCUCAUUGCCCCACAAAAGGGACACUGCCACUCAACUCAUCCCUGCUAUGGAAUUAUUUUAGCCACCUAAAGUAACGCUACUCUUUGCGGGCCACUAAGGCACUGUAGAACAUUUUGUUCCUAGCAAAUGGUAUGAACUUAGUAAAUGUUUGAUGGAUUUAUUCAUUCAUUUGUUCAUGUUUAUGCCACUCCUAUUAUAGGCCCGACACUGUUUUAGGUUGUAAGGAUGGAGCAAUGAACCAGAUGGGUGAGUCCCGGCAGUCGUUGCAUUUAUAUUCUAGGAGGGGAGCAGACAAUACACAGGUAAGGAAACAAGCAGGAUAAUUUCAGAUAUUGAUAAGUGCUGUGAAGACUUAUCUAGAGGCAUUUUCUCAACAGAGGGUCCUGGGAGUGGUCUUUGAGGCCUGAAAUGAAAAUUAGCCGUCCAUCCUGAGAUCCAUGUGAAGGGAAACUUAAGUGUAUCAAUAACGUGUGAUGUUUGCCGAUUUGGUCUGUCUCUUAAGCAAGCCCCAUUCUAAUAGACGGUCGUCAGAAAGCUUCGUUCAAACAGUUACUGCACAUGCUCUGCGUUCCAAGCAGCGUGCUAGGGGUUAGGGAUGUCAAAGUAAAAGCUGUGGCCCCUGCCUUCAAGGAACUGACAUUCCGGUGUGGAGAACUAGAUGUAUAAACAAUUACAAUAAUAAAAUUAAAAAAUAACAAAAAGUGAGAAGAUGCCAAGCGAGGCGACACGGCCAGCACACUGCGGGAGGCUUGUCGAGGAAGUGCCUUUAUCGGAAUCGAAACAGCAAGAGCAGCUGUGUCGGGAGAAGGUUCUCCAUGCGUCUCUCACGCUUCGGCAUGUCUUGUCAACAGGGAGACUGUCUUUUGUUGAACCACCUGGAACUAUCUUUCAAGGAUGUUUGUAUAGCUAGCCAACACCUUGGAGCUAGAGAUAGUUUCUCCCUCCAGGGUAGAGAGGUUCAUUUCUUUACUAGGACACUAAAAAUGUUUCCCUCUAAGGCAAAGCUUGGGCAGGUUUCCUUGCAGCCUCUUGAGAAGACUGGAGUUUUCUAAGCUGGAGCUUCCUCAGUUGUGGUGCAGACCCACUAUGUGCAGCAUCCACCUGGACCAUUCCAUGGCAACCCGUAGGAUUUCGGGGGAAAGAGGAACUGAAGGAAUAUGAAGCUGUACUGAUGCUGUGCUGUUUGCCUCUGACUCAGGAAUCAUAUCUCUUCUGCAAGAACCUGUGCAACUGCGGCAGGCUGCCUUGCCAGCCUGGAAAUAGGUGAAAUGAAUAGUUCUGGACAUGGUGGCAAUAUGCCGGUGACUUAUGCUUUUAAACACCUCUACUUCAUACCAGAAUAUUUAUGCUUUCUGACCUUUAAUUUUCUCACUUGUGAACUUGGGAUAAAAAUCCUCACCUCAAAAAACCAUUGUAAGGAUCAAAUGGAAUGUCAUAUGAGUGGCAGAGAUGGCUAACUGUUCACAAUACCCGUUCUUUCUUCUCCCACAGCACAGAAGCUCUGCAGCGUAGCAACAGCCACCUGAGUAAGGAAAAUGACAUGUUGCAGCCUCCCUGGCAGCUUGGUGUGAUCAGGCAAUAAACUUCUGGUCAACAGGAUGUGAGCAGAGUUGUAGGUGCAACUUUCAUAUGAUGUUCUGGAAGAAAGGAGAAUGUCCUUCUUAGCCCCUUCCCUUUCCCAUGGCCUGGAAUAUAGACACAGAGAAGCGACAUCUUGGACUAUGUGGUUGGGGAGACCCUCUCCAUAUGGUAGAGGAAUAAGACAGAAGGAGCCUGGGUCUUUGUCUUUUUGCAGAAACUGUUCAGAUCCUGGACUUCUAAUGUACAGACUGUGAUGUGAGAGGAAAAUAAAUUUCUG